GAUGAACGCUGGCGGCGUGCCUAAUACAUGCAAGUCGAGCGAACUUUUGGGAGCUUGCUCCCAAAAGUUAGCGGCGGACGGGUGAGUAACAAGUGGGUAACCUGCCUGUAAGACUGGGAUAACUUCGGGAAACCGGAGCUAAUACCGGAUAACAUUGAAGACUACAUGGCCUUCAAUUAAAAGGUGGCUUUUAGCUACCACUUACAGAUGGACCCGCGGCGCAUUAGCUAGUUGGUGGGGUAACGGCUCACCAAGGCGACGAUGCGUAGCCGACCUGAGAGGGUGGUCGGCCACACUGGGAGUGAGGCACGCCCCAUACUCCUACGGGAGGCAGCAGUAGGGAAUCUGCCGCAAUGGACGAGAGUCUUACGGAGCAACGCCGCGUGAGCGAAGAAGGCCUUCGGGUCGUAAAGCUCUGUUGUUAGGGAAGAACAAGUAUCGUUCGAAUAGGGCGGUACCUUGACGGUACCUAACCAGAAAGCCACGGCUAACUACGUG
This 498-nucleotide ribosomal RNA is filed under the name uncultured bacterium. Its description in RNAcentral is "partial 16S ribosomal RNA". It matches the Rfam family "Bacterial small subunit ribosomal RNA", at positions 28 to 507 of the family's 1533-position model. The record is from RNAcentral.